GUGACGGCGUACCUUUUGUAUAAUGGGUCAUCGACUUGGUCUAUCUAGCAAGCUUAAGCCGUUAGGUGUAGGCGCAGCGAAAGCGAGUCUUAAUAGGGCGUUGAGUUAGAUGGAUCAGACCCGAAACCGAGUGAUCUAGGCAUGACCAGGAUGAAGGUAAGGUAACACUUACUGGAGGUCCGAACCCACACCUGUUGAAAAAGGUCGGGAUGAGUUGUGCCUAGGGGUGAAAGGCCAAUCAAACUCGGAGAUAGCUGGUUCUCUGCGAAAUCUAUUUAGGUAGAGCGUCAUCCGAAUACCCCGGGGGGUAGAGCACUGGAUGGGUAAUGGGGCCCCACAGGCUUACUGAUCCUAACCAAACUCCGAAUACCCGGGAGUACUAGAUGGCAGACACACAGCGGAUGCUAACGUCCGUUGUGAAGAGGGAAACAACCCUGACCUACAGCUAAGGCCCCCAAUUCAUGGCUAAGUGGGAAAGCAGGUGGGACGACCAAAACAACCAGGAGGUUGGCUUAGAAGCAGCCAUCCUUUAAAGAUAGCGUAACAGCUCACUGGUCUAAACAAGUUGUCCUGCGGCGAAGAUGUAACGGGGCUCAAGCCAUGAGCCGAAGCUUAGGAUGCCGUAAGGCAUGGUAGCAGAGCGUAGUGUGACAUAGUUCCAUGUCUCUUUUGCCUCUUUCGGGAGGUCUUGGAGACGCGGAGCUUUCUGUGAAGCCGGGGCGUGAGCCAUCCGGUGGAGAGAUCACUAGUGAGAAUGAUGACAUGAGUAGCGACAAAGGGUGUGAGAGACACCCUCGCCGAAAGUCCAAGGGUUCCUGCUUAAAGCUAAUCUGAGCAGGGUAAGCCGACCCCUAAGGCGAGGCCGAAAGGCGUAGUCGAUGGGAACCAGGUUAAUAUUCCUGGGCCAGAUGGAAGUGACGGAUCUCGAAGGUUGUUCGUUCUUAUCGGAUUGAACGGGCCGCUUAGAGGUUCCUGGAAAUAGCUCCAUCGCUAGAUCGUACCCUAAACCGACACAGGUGGACUGGUAGAGAAUACCAAGGCGCUUGAGAGAACUAUGUUGAAGGAACUCGGCAAAAUACCUCCGUAAGUUCGCGAGAAGGAGGCCCGGUUUCUAGGCAACUAGAGGCUGGGGGCACAAACCAGGGGGUGGCGACUGUUUACUAAAAACACAGGGCUCUGCGAAGUCGUAAGACGACGUAUAGGGUCUGACGCCUGCCCGGUGCCUGAAGGUUAAAAGGAGGGGUGCAAGCUCUGAAUUGAAGCCCAGGUAAACGGCGGCCGUAACUAUAACGGUCCUAAGGUAGCGAAAUUCCUUGUCGGGUAAGUUCCGACCUGCACGAAUGGCGUAACGACUUCCCCGCUGUCUCCAACAUAGACUCAGCGAAAUUGAAUUGCCUGUCAAGAUGCAGGCUUCCCGCGGUUAGACGGAAAGACCCCGUGCACCUUUACUACAACUUCACACUGGCAUUAGGCCGAACAUGUGCAGAAUAGGUGGUAGGCUUUGAAGCGGAGACGCCAGUCUUCGUGGAGCCUCCUUUGAGAUACCACCCUUGUUCUGCUUGAUGUCUAACCGCGGUCCGUUAUCCGGAUCCGGGACCCUGUGUGGUGGGUAGUUUGACUGGGGCGGUCGCCUCCUAAAGCGUAACGGAGGCGCGCGAAGGUUGGCUCAGAGCGGUCGGAAAUCGCUCGUUGAGUGCAAUGGCAGAAGCCAGCCUGACUGCAAGACUGACAAGUCGAGCAGAGACGAAAGUCGGCCAUAGUGAUCCGGUGGUCCCAAGUGGGAGGGCCAUCGCUCAACGGAUAAAAGGUACGCCGGGGAUAACAGGCUGAUACUGCCCAAGAGUCCAUAUCGACGGCAGUGUUUGGCACCUCGAUGUCGGCUCAUCUCAUCCUGGGGCUGGAGCAGGUCCCAAGGGUACGGCUGUUCGCCGUUUAAAGAGGUACGUGAGCUGGGUUUAGAACGUCGUGAGACAGUUCGGUCCCUAUCUGCCGUGGGUGUAGGAUACUUGAGAGGAGUUGCCCCUAGUACGAGAGGACCGGGGUGAACGAACCACUGGUGGACCAGUUGUCGUGCCAACGGCAGUGCUGGGUAGCUAUGUUCGGACAGGAUAACCGCUGAAGGCAUCUAAGCGGGAAGCCCCCCUCAAAACAAGGUAUCCCUGAGGGCCGUGGUAGACCACCACGUCGAUAGGCCGGAGAUGUAAGCGCAGCAAUGCGUUCAGUUGACCGGUACUAAUGGCCCGAUAGGCUUGAUUUGAUCCAG
RNAcentral lists this ribosomal RNA (2263 nucleotides) under Puniceibacterium antarcticum. Its description in RNAcentral is "bacterial LSU rRNA". It matches the Rfam family "Bacterial large subunit ribosomal RNA", at positions 593 to 2925 of the family's 2925-position model. The record is from RNAcentral. Lineage: Bacteria; Pseudomonadati; Pseudomonadota; Alphaproteobacteria; Rhodobacterales; Paracoccaceae.